GACGAACGCUGGCGGCGUGCUUAACACAUGCAAGUCGAACGGAAAGGCCUGUGCUUGCACGGGUACUCGAGUGGCGAACGGGUGAGUAACACGUGGGUGAUCUGCCCUUCACUUCGGGAUAAGCCUGGGAAACUGGGUCUAAUACUGGAUAGGACCAUCGUUUAGUGUCGGUGGUGGAAAGUUUUUUCGGUGGAGGAUGAGCUCGCGGCCUAUCAGCUUGUUGGUGGGGUAAUGGCCUACCAAGGCGACGACGGGUAGCCGGCCUGAGAGGGUGGACGGCCACAUUGGGACUGAGACACGGCCCAGACUCCUACGGGAGGCAGCAGUGGGGAAUCUUGCACAAUGGGCGGAAGCCUGAUGCAGCGACGCCGCGUGAGGGAUGACGGCCUUCGGGUUGUAAACCUCUUUCGCUAGGGAAGAAGCCGCUUUGUGGUGGUGACGGUACCUGGAUAAGAAGCACCGGCUAACUACGUGCCAGCAGCCGCGGUAAUACGUAGGGUGCGAGCGUUGUCCGGAAUUACUGGGCGUAAAGAGCUCGUAGGUGGUUUGUCGCGUCGUCUGUGAAAUCCCGGGGCUUAACUUCGGGCGUGCAGGCGAUACGGGCAAGCUGGAGUGCUGUAGGGGAGACUGGAAUUCCUGGUGUAGCGGUGGAAUGCGCAGAUAUUAGGAAGAACACCGAUGGCGAAGGCAGGUCUCUGGGCAGUAACUGACACUGAGGAGCGAAAGCAUGGGUAGCGAACAGG
This 743-nucleotide ribosomal RNA is filed under the name uncultured Corynebacterium sp. Its description in RNAcentral is "bacterial SSU rRNA". It matches the Rfam family "Bacterial small subunit ribosomal RNA", at positions 28 to 776 of the family's 1533-position model. The record is from RNAcentral. Lineage: Bacteria; Bacillati; Actinomycetota; Actinomycetes; Mycobacteriales; Corynebacteriaceae.